UGGAUACUGAUACAAGGGGCCACGACCAGAAUAUAAAGGAGAAGCCUUGUACAUGCACAAGGUCUCGAAAAUACAAGGGAAAUAAAGACAAAGGCUCCCUUGGAAACACAACAAAGACUAGAGUUUUUCGAAAACUAAAUAACAUAAAAGCAUAGCUUAAAAUAUAAGAUAAGGUCUUCAUGUGGACAGACCAAGAUCAAUCAUCUAGGAGAUAGGAGAAGUAGACUUGUGGCCUCGUUAAAAACCUUCCUUUGGAAAACCCAGUGGGACAAAACCAAAGGUUAGGAAAAGAGCACACACAAGCUACUUGCCUAGAUGAUGAUCAGCUUGAAGGUGGAGUAGCUUGAAUGAUGGUUAAGGUGUCUUGGAUGAUCAAGCUUCGGCCAAGACUAAUGUAUUCUUCUUGUUUCCAAAUGUUCUUCAAGGUUGCAUCCUCAGCUACAAGCUCUUCAGGUUCAGGUUCAUGCUUCCAGUCCUUGGUGCUUUCCAUGAUCAUAUCAUCCCCUCCCACUUCAAAAAGAUUUGUCCUCAAAUCUGUGUUACCUGCAAUAGAAGGGACCAAGUCAGUAUCAUCAGAGUUUAUAAUCAGAUUACACUUACCUUGCAAGCCUCUUUGAUAGGCAUUGUCGCUGACUGGUUCUAUUAGGUAGAAGGGACUGAUCCAUUUGGCUUUCCUCACUCCUGAGGCAUUACUUAGACCUGAUACAUUGAAACAAGACAAGUUAACACAAGCAAAAUCAUCAUAGAGUAAGAGUCUUAUCCCAAAGUUGUAUUUUCUCGGUUUUGGCUUGUAUGCUGCAUCUGGAGGUGCUUCUUUGAUGAGGAUGAAGCAAGUGACGUCCUGAUGUCUCUCCUGGCUUAGAUCAGGCGGCUUGAAACGUUUGUCUUCCUCACGCUUGUUCUUUCUUUUUGCAUGCUUCAAAGCUUUCAUAUAAUCUGCACAUGACUCUUUUGGCAAAAACAAGUGCAUCAUAUCGGUGUAAUCAAUAAAAGAACUCUUGAAAACAUGAUUAGUUACCUUACCAUGCUCACCUGGUCGCCAUAGAUAGGAUUGAGAUGUUCUGAACUCAGAAAAGUUCAGACAAAGUAAACACAGAAUCACCCGUCUUGUAGAACCCAUAACUCUUUUAUUUGAGAAGCUUUGGUCAUGAUUCCAGUUCGACGUGAGACCCUGAUGAGUGUAGUUUCCAUUGCAGUUGAGUUUGUUGCUUAAUUCCUUCUGGUUGCUGAGAUAUGAUCCUCGGACUGCUCCUAUGUCAGAGUUGGCGGCUAGACAGCUUCCAAGAUUUGAUUGUUGCAUCUCCAACUUAGCCAAGGAUCCAUUCUUGAUACUCUGAUCAUUACUAUAGCCUCUCCUUUCGAAAAGUAUAGCACUCAAAACUGUUUGACCUACUCUAAUGAGAUCUCCAUCUCCACUCUUGAUUUGACAAUCUCUGAAAUGGUAUUGAAGCUUCUGCAAAUCUGGUGGCUUCCACGCCUUGACAUGAUCAAGAAGCAAGGCAUUUUGAUCAGCUUCCAACUCCUUAUUACCCAAGCUGGUUCUAGCACGAGCAGAGCACUCUCCAAGGAUGAUAAGUGUGCUGUCAUAUGCUCCAGGUUUCCACAAGUAGAUCUGUAACCUUCCAGCCCAAUCUGAUAUAAGCAGCUCACAGAAUUUGGCUAAACCGAUAUGUUUUGCGGAAUUGACAAUAUCUUGAUGAUCAGGUGGCCAUUUGCUGCGUUUUCCGGUUUGUUGGAUCCAGGAAAGAGUGGGUAACAUUCUCCAAUUGGUUUCGUAGUGAAAAUCUUGCUGAGCUGAGACGUGCAUCCCUUUAGCUUCAGAGGGUAAAAGAUCACCAAAAACAAUUGUUGUUGCUGCCGAUUUCUUCUCAAUCACUAUGGGAUUGUUCCUGUGAUUCCACAACUCUCCUCCAGGCUCAAAUACAACAUGUUCCAUGCCCAGUUCGUGUCUUGAAAGCUCUACUGCUCUGGUCUUGUUCCAGACAAAGGGAUUGAACAGAAAAAUACCCAAGAAUGUCUUUUGGAAAUCACACGGGUCAAAGACAAUCAGUUGUCUCUUUUUGCAAGCUGUCUGUGGUUUCCUGGGUGUCUCUUCUGGUACUAUGGCUUGUUUGAAAGGAACCAUGACGUUCUGAACAGGCUGCUCAUCUUUCUGAAUGGCAGCUGAUGAUUCUUUGGCUUGAUCUCCUUGAAUAGAUGUAGCUGAUACCGGCUCUACUCCACUGUCUGAUUUUGAUUCCAUGGGUGCCUCCUCUUCUAUUACAUCCUGUUUGAAGAGAAUCAGGUCGUCCUUGAUGGGUUGAUCAUCCUUCUGAAUGGUGAUUGUUGGAAUCUCGGUUUGAUCUUCUUGAACUAGUGCAGCCAAGUCUGAUUGUGCAACUGAGUCUGGUUCUGCAUCUUUGAGUUCUGAGACAGUUGAGGAAAGCGCUUGGUUCUGUACUUCUAAGGAUGGAGAUAUAGUCUUGGACUGUUUAAGUUGUUUCUCUACAUCCCUAAACGCUUGUGAAAUUGCCUUCCUUAUGCUAUCUUCAAAGGAAUAGGUUGAUGUUUUGCUUGAUGAAACCAGGUUACUAGAUGGACUUGAUCUCUUGCUGUCUGGUUGUUUCUGAACUGAUAAUGAAGAACAUAGCUUUGUCUCAGGCUGCUUUUGAAUAACUUCCUUGUGGAACUGUCUUGGAACGUACUCUCUACGCAUCAAAGCCCUCAGCUUAAGCCAUGUUUCCACUGGUUCUUUUCCAUCAAGUCUUCUGCACUUUAUCAACUGAUUCCACCAUCUUAAAGCAUGACCACAAAACUCAGCAGUAGCCAUUUGAAUCUUCUUUUUUCAGCAUAGUGUUGACUACUGAAAAUCAACUCAAUCUUCUUUUCCCACUUCACAUAAGCUUCAGGAUCAGCCUGGCCAUGAAAAGAAGGAAUUUGAUAUUUCAAUCCAGCAUGCUUCCAGUUUCUGUCCAUCUGAUCAAACUCCUUUUUCUUGUACUCAUCUCUGGAUGAUCUGCCUUUCCUUUGCUGCUGUAUGUCUUGUCUGAAUUUUCUCAAUUGAUCUUUGCAGGCUUUAUCCAUACUGGCUGUGAAUUCUUCAAGAAAAAGCUUUUCUUUCUUGCUGAGUUCUCCUUUUUGAUCUCCUGCCAUGGUACCUGAGACAAGAGAAAGACUAAGCCAGUAAAUAGUUCUACAGAGAAAACAAAAAAACAAUUUGCAAAAUCAGAGAUUCAAAUUGAAGCUUAAAACUUUAGACAAUUCUCAGAACAAAUUCAAACUCAACCAAUGAUUUAAAAGAGAUCAAAACUAAUCAGAACAGAAUUGAAAUCUUAAGCCUAUCAGAUCAGAUUGAUUUCGAAACUAGAACAAAAAAAAUGGAGAGAUAGAUUUCGAUUUCAGAUUCAAGCACAGAUUUUUCAAAACAAAAAUAUCAAAACGAAAUCAAUCAAACUUGCACUACACGGAUUAGGUUUCAAAAUAUCAAUCAACACACGAUCAGAGAUGAUAUGAUAACAGAUGAUGAGAUUUAGAUCAAGCAAGAACAGAUCUAAAACAAUAAGAACAGAUCGACUGCAAUCAACAAACAGAUUCAGAUCAAGCAAUCGGAUAACUUGAUAAACAAGGAUCCGAACAGUCUAAUACCCAAAACAAGAUCUAAUUAACCCAAAUUCGAUAGAUUUCUUCACAAGGAACACAGAUCAACACGAAAUCAAAGAGUAUAUGAAGAGACUUCACCAGAUUCGUGAUCAAAAACACUUAGAUCUAACAGAUUUCAACAAUAGAAACACAAAUCGAUCAAAAUCUCAACAGAAUAUGAAGAGAUCAAAUCGAAAAUCAGAGAGAAAAAUCAAACACUUCCCUUCCAGAGUUGCUCUGAUACCACUUGAUGAGAUCCUAGGAUGAUGCUCUGGAACAGAUGGGAUAAUCCUUGCAGAAACGAAUCAAAAGACUCAAGCUUCUCAAGGUAUGUGGAUCGAAUGGUGACACAAGAGGCUGCGGAAAGGCUCCUUGAUACUCCUAGGCAAUAGAUCGGAUAUGACACACCAAACUAGAGCCCUUAGUCUCUGGAUAUUACACACCAGAAGUUGGAUAUUACACACCAACACUCAAUCAACUCGACAAGCAAGAAGAAAAGAGAAAACAAAGGUUUUUGAUAAAAAGAUGGAUACUGAUACAAGGGGCCACGACCAGAAUAUAAAGGAGAAGCCUUGUACAUGCACAAGGUCUCGAAAAUACAAGGGAAAUAAAGACAAAGGCUCCCUUGGAAACACAACAAAGACUAGAGUUUUUCGAAAACUAAAUAACAUAAAAGCAUAGCUUAAAAUAUAAGAUAAGGUCUUCAUGUGGACAGACCAAGAUCAAUCAUCUAGGAGAUAGGAGAAGUAGACUUGUGGCCUCGUUAAAAACCUUCCUUUGGAAAACCCAGUGGGACAA
RNAcentral lists this long non-coding RNA (4416 nucleotides) under Brassica rapa (field mustard). RNAcentral describes it as "long non-coding RNA (BRAP_LNC008943)". Lineage: Eukaryota; Viridiplantae; Streptophyta; Magnoliopsida; Brassicales; Brassicaceae. The record is from RNAcentral.